GAUCAUGGCUCAGGAUGAACGCUGGCGGCGUGCUUAACACAUGCAAGUCGAACGAAGCACCUUAGACAGAAGCCUUCGGGCGGAAGACUUUGGUGACUUAGUGGCGGACGGGUGAGUAACGCGUGGGUAACCUGCCCUGUACUGGGGGACAACAGCUGGAAACGACUGCUAAUACCGCAUAAGCGCACAGCAUCGCAUGAUGCAGUGUGAAAAACUCCGGUGGUACAGGAUGGACCCG
RNAcentral lists this ribosomal RNA (238 nucleotides) under uncultured bacterium. Its description in RNAcentral is "partial 16S ribosomal RNA". It matches the Rfam family "Bacterial small subunit ribosomal RNA", at positions 15 to 233 of the family's 1533-position model. The record is from RNAcentral.